AAGACCUUGCGCUUUUGGAGCGGCCGAUGUCUGAUUAGCUAGUUGGUGGGGUAAUGGCCUACCAAGGCGACGAUCAGUAGUUGGUCUGAGAGGACGACCAGCCACACUGGGACUGAGACACGGCCCAGACUCCUACGGGAGGCAGCAGUGGGGAAUUUUGGACAAUGGGCGCAAGCCUGAUCCAGCAAUGCCGCGUGAGUGAAGAAGGCCUUCGGGUUGUAAAGCUCUUUCAGUCGAGAAGAAAGGGCUGCAGUGAAUAACUGUAGUUUAUGACGGUAUCGACAGAAGAAGCACCGGCUAACUACGUGCCAGCAGCCGCGGUAAUACGUAGGGUGCGAGCGUUAAUCGGAAUUACUGGGCGUAAAGGGUGCGCAGGCGGUUUUGUAAGUCAGAUGUGAAAUCCCCGGGCUUAACCUGGGAAUUGCGUUUGAAACACA
RNAcentral lists this ribosomal RNA (437 nucleotides) under uncultured Nitrosomonas sp. RNAcentral's name for it is "bacterial SSU rRNA". It matches the Rfam family "Bacterial small subunit ribosomal RNA", at positions 207 to 637 of the family's 1533-position model. Lineage: Bacteria; Pseudomonadati; Pseudomonadota; Betaproteobacteria; Nitrosomonadales; Nitrosomonadaceae. The record is from RNAcentral.